UAAGCAUAUCAAUAAGCGGAGGAAAAGAAACUAACAAGGAUUCCCCUAGUAACUGCGAGUGAAGCGGGAAAAGCUCAAAUUUAAAAUCUGGCGGCUUUUGGCUGUCCGAGUUGUAGUCUGGAGAAGUGCUUUCCGCGCUGGACCGUGUACAAGUCUCUUGGAACAGAGCGUCAUAGAGGGUGAGAAUCCCGUCUUUGACACGGACUACCAGUGCUUUGUGAUGCGCUCUCAAAGAGUCGAGUUGUUUGGGAAUGCAGCUCAAAAUGGGUGGUAAAUUCCAUCUAAAGCUAAAUAUUGGCGAGAGACCGAUAGCGAACAAGUACCGUGAGGGAAAGAUGAAAAGCACUUUGGAAAGAGAGUUAAACAGUACGUGAAAUUGCUGAAAGGGAAACGCUUGAAGUCAGUCGCGUUGACCAGAACUCAGCCUUGCUUUUGCUUGGUGCACUUUCUGGUUGACGGGCCAGCAUCAAUUUUGAUUGUUGGAUAAAGGCUGGGGGAAUGUGGCACCUUCGGGUGUGUUAUAGCCCUCGGUCACAUACAACAGUUGGGAUUGAGGAUCUCAGCACGCCUUUAUGGUCGGGGUUCGCCCACGUUCGUGCUUAGGAUGCUGGCAUAAUGGCUUUAAACGACCCGUCUUGAAACACGGACCAAGGAGUCUAACAUGCCUGCGAGUGUUUGGGUGGAAAACCCGAGCGCGUAAUGAAAGUGAAAGUUGAGAUCCCUGUCAUGGGGAGCAUCGACGCCCGGACCUGACCUUCUGUGACGGCUCCGCGGUAGAGCAUGUAUGUUGGGACCCGAAAGAUGGUGAACUAUGCCUGAAUAGGGUGAAGCCAGAGGAAACUCUGGUGGAGGCUCGUAGCGAUUCUGACGUGCAAAUCGAUCGUCAAAUUUGGGUAUAGGGGCGAAAGACUAAUCGAACCAUCUAGUAGCUGGUUCCUGCCG
This 942-nucleotide ribosomal RNA is filed under the name Adustoporia sinuosa. RNAcentral's name for it is "LSU rRNA". It matches the Rfam family "Eukaryotic large subunit ribosomal RNA", at positions 35 to 963 of the family's 3401-position model. Lineage: Eukaryota; Fungi; Basidiomycota; Agaricomycetes; Polyporales; Adustoporiaceae. The record is from RNAcentral.